Long non-coding RNA from Capsicum annuum, 613 nucleotides. RefSeq lists it as uncharacterized. Lineage: Eukaryota; Viridiplantae; Streptophyta; Magnoliopsida; Solanales; Solanaceae. The record is from RefSeq and is a predicted model, not a curated record. The transcript has 4 exons.
CUUAGUUGCUCACUUGCUCUAUACGACAAUACCUUUUUAGUCCGUAAAAAAUUGAACUUCUCCCACAAAAUUUUCAUCUUCUUUUGCAGAAGUUGUUACUCUUCUUUUGUCGGAGUUGUCUUUCAAUAUGGAUGACGAUUCAAGUCAAGCACUCGAUGUGAUUACGAGUGAAAACGCGUCUAUGAUUGAGUCUAUCAAUUCAGCACCAGAAGAUGAUCAACUAUCAACAAAGAGAAAAUCUAUGCAACCUAGAUCUCUUGCUUGGCCGCAUUAUGAGAAGUUUGUAGAACAUGGGGUUACCAAAUCAAAGUACUUGACAGAUAGCUUGACAAAUCCCGUCCUUACAUGAUUUCUAGUCUCAAGUUGCCUCAAUCCUCAGGUUCUUUUCAAUGUUGUGACUAUGGCUAAAUCUUGAUGUAUUUUGGUGAGCAAUAAGCCUUUAUUUUUGGAGGAAUAGAGAACUCACACAAGAACAAGAGUGAAAUGACUAGAUUGUUUUAAACUAUUAAUAUUAGCAUGGUUGUAAGCAUUAACUUAAUUUUCUAUUAAAGAGUGAAUGAUUAUGAAGUAAGACCAUAACAUUUGGUGUAUUUUGAUGUAAAAAGUGGGUAUG